UACGAAGGGGGCUAGCGUUGCUCGGAAUUACUGGGCGUAAAGGGCGCAUAGGCGGACAGUUUAGUCAGAGGUGAAAGCCCAGGGCUCAACCUUGGAAUUGCCUUUGAUACUGGCUGUCUUGAGUUCGGGAGAGGUGAGUGGAAUGCCGAGUGUAGAGGUGAAAUUCGUAGAUAUUCGGCGGAACACCAGUGGCGAAGGCGACUCACUGGCCCGAUACUGACGCUGAGGCGCGAAAGCGUGGGGAGCAAACAGG
Molecule: ribosomal RNA, 253 nt
Filed under: uncultured bacterium
Lineage: Bacteria
Description: partial 16S ribosomal RNA
Rfam family: Bacterial small subunit ribosomal RNA
Source: RNAcentral